CAUCCCUCCACAAAGACUUGUCAUUUCAGAAUUGGAGGGUGUUGCCUUUUCUCGGCAUCAUUUUAAUACAAGUUUAUCAAAUAUCUGACACCCCAAGGCACUAACCAUACUGUAGAUGCAUGAGCUAGGACAGCAGAGAGGUGGUGGGGACAGAGAUAGGACAGAAGAGAGGUGGUGGGGACAGAGCUGGAUCCAGGGAGAGAUCCCCUGACUUCCUGGACUUAGACGGGGUCACCAGGUCCUUUAGUGCCACAUUAUCUGUGACAUUUGAACUUACUCAUGGUGAUACUUCUUUACCGCGAUAUUACUCCUCUCAUUCCAGUUCUAGGAAGUGGCCUGGAUAGGAGUUGCCACUGAAACACCAGAAGGGGGAAGCUUCAGAUAAUUUUAGAAGGUUUGGGCUUACUGAAGGCAAAAGGAAACAACUCAAGGAUUUUAAGCAGGAGAGUGAUUGGAUCAGCAUAGUGUUGGAAAUAAUAUAAGUAGCCAAUAUUUAUUAGUGCUUAUUAUAUACCAGACAUUGUACCAAAUGCUUCAUAUGGGUUAUCUUACUUAAUUUUAAAAGCAGCUCUGUGAAUAAGUACUCUGCGUUUUCUUCUCUUUACAGAUACUGAAAUAAAGACCUAGAGGAUCAUUUGGUCAACUUCUCACAGAUAAGAGGAGGAGAGAUGGGAUGCAACCCAGGUUCAUUGGAUCCAAGUCCAUUUCAGCCAUCACCCUAAGCCCAGAAUCAAAAAGAAGGAAAUUCAUAAGAAGUGGUGAUCCCUCUGUUCUUUUGAUGGUGGAGACCAAGUCUACUUUGAAACGGAGGAAGAGAAAUAGAGGACAUAAAGGAUUCUCCUACCACUCCUUCCUUUUUUGUGUGAGGAUGAUGGCUUUUAAUGCUUUGGAUUCAGCUUUCUGCAAAUGGCACACAAAUCUGAUGAAGGAGUGAACACAGCUGGUGUCAGAGGCUUGGAAGUGAAGGCCCUCAUUCACUCAGAGAGGACAAGAUGCUGACAGAUAAGGACAGAACAUACUGUUCCCACCCUCCUCAUUUUAUUACACAAAAAUGCAGCCCACAUUGUAUUGAGCUUUGCACAUUGCUUUCUCUGCUUAACUGGACAGCCUGAACACCUCUGUACAUUGGUACAGAAAAGGCACUCAUUUUGGUUUUUUUUUUUCACAGCUGCAUAGGAUUAAUUUUGUAAAUAUGCCAUGUUUUAUUUGGGUCCCAUCCAAACCCUGUCACAAUAAAUAGUCUUGUACACUUUCACUUACUAUGUGUGCAGAUGUAACUGUUGGGAAAAAGCCCAGAUAUGGGAUUUCCAGAUCCAACGGCAACUGAGCCCAUAAUUUAGGCAGAUAUCACCAGAUUCUCCUGCACAGGCCUGCAUCAUUUCCCCCUUCAUGAUAAAGGAAUGCCAUUUUUAUCUGUAUUUCUCAUAUUAAUUUGUAACCCAUUUAGCUACGAAUAUUUCUUUUUCUAUGAAAUGUCUUUUAUGUGCUUUGCCUGCUUUUUCAUUGGAUGAGAUUGGUGCAUCCAGGGUAGUAUGGCAUAGACUACCUGUUUUUCUAUUGGGUUCUUUCUAGUCUUCUUUAUUUCUGGAAGUGCCUUAGGAAUUUAUCGUUUAUUCAGGAGAGUGAUAUUUGUUACAUGAUUUGCAAUUUUUCUCCAGUUUAUCAUUUUGUCAUUUACCUUGCUUAUGGCAUAUUUGCUAUGUUAAUGGAUUAAAAAUACAUAUGUAAUUUAUCUUCUUUAAUUUCAUGAAAUUGACUUUCAGUCAUGUAAGGGACUUGCCUCCUCCAGGCUUAGCAAGGAAUUCAUAUAUUACCUUUUGCAAUUUUUAAAAACUUUUGUUUUUAAAUACUUGCUAUAACUGAAGGUUUAUCCUUAUGUAUAAUGUGAGGUACAGAUCUAAUUUUAUUUUAUCUUUUCUUUAUGUGGACAAUCAGUUCUUCUGUUAAUCUAAAGACCCAUCUUUAUUGAUAUAAAUGUCAUCUUUAUCAUAUACUAUAUUACUGAAUGUAUUUGUACUGAAAACUUAUGAAAUUUUCUUCUAAUCCACAGGUCUUUCUAUUUAUAUACCAGACAUGU
This is a long non-coding RNA of Bubalus bubalis (water buffalo), 2077 nucleotides long. RefSeq lists it as uncharacterized. Lineage: Eukaryota; Metazoa; Chordata; Mammalia; Artiodactyla; Bovidae. The record is from RefSeq and is a predicted model, not a curated record. The transcript is spliced from 4 exons.